This 27-nucleotide non-coding RNA is filed under the name Homo sapiens (human). The record is from RNAcentral. Lineage: Eukaryota; Metazoa; Chordata; Mammalia; Primates; Hominidae.
UUCAGCCUGAUCCAACUAAAUGUUCUU